RNAcentral lists this long non-coding RNA (2009 nucleotides) under Betta splendens (Siamese fighting fish). RNAcentral's name for it is "lncRNA (ENSBSLG00000023108.1)". Lineage: Eukaryota; Metazoa; Chordata; Actinopteri; Anabantiformes; Osphronemidae. The record is from RNAcentral.
GUCAUUAUGUUGUGUGUGUGUGUAAUAAAAAUAUGUUACCUCUAAGUUUUUUUGGUAAUUCUUAUUAUAACAAUACAAAUAAUAAUAAUUAUAAUAACAAUGAUGAUGAUGAUGAUGAUAAUUUGGCUCGUUGGUCUAUCUGAUUCUCGCUCUGGGUGCCAGACGUUCAGGGUUCAAAUCCUGGACGAGCCGUCUCCAGGUAUUAAUGCAGUCAACGAGUGCCACAUAAGAAGCUAACUUAAGCGCUGCCGACCCGUUCAGGGUCUACCCUGCCUCUCGCCCAUACCCAGCUGGGUUAGGCUCCAGCGCUCCCGUGACCCCGCAUAUGGGAAUAGGCCGAUUGGAAAUAGGAUGGAUGAUGAUCAUAAUAAUAGCUUCGAUCUUUACGAGAUGUGCAUAAACGCAGCUCCCUCCGGCCACAUGGCUAAUUUGCAUGCAUGCGUCACAGGUCACGCCCCAGGUCACGCCCCAACUUCCUCUGUAACGUUCCGUUUUGUCUUCACGACGUCGGGCAAAAACCUAGGACAAAAAGAGCAGGAAACAAAAGGGCCAGCUGGCUGCAUCCCGCGGAGACGCGCCGGGCCGUACCGCGUGUGGUGGGCGUGUCCGCGGGUGCAAAAAACUAUCCGAACCGUUGCCAAGCAUUGCGCCACCUGGAAACCAAUCCUCUCUUUCCGGUUGUCCUACAUGGCUUGCAUCCUAAUUGGUCUGUCCUACUUGUCAGCUAAACGAUGUAAUUGGCUAGUUUUGCUGGACACCGCGAGGAAGAGGCGUCAAUUUUAUUCUACUUCACUGCCAUUCCGUUUUUAAAGACUCAGUCUUUGUCGACAUUUCUUUCUUUACAGCGAUAAACUUUAUUGUGAGUAGCGGACUUUUCACGAAGUCUCCUCCACAGUACACGACGUUUUCGACAGUUCUUUAUAUUUGCUUUUCAUUGUCGGAGUUUCACGAAGAUCAUGGACCAUCGCCCUUUGUUCCGUGUGCAGCCUUCGUCCACUGAGCUCACUCUCAGGCCCUCACCAGAAGCACUGACGGUGGCCCAGGCCUAUCAUGGGUCUGAGGCAUGGAAGGUGAAGGUGCCUCAGAAGGUGAAGGAGGAGGCGAAAGCUCGCAUUCUGCAAGGAGGAGGAGAUCCCCACUGCUCCCAGCUGCUUCUCAGCCAAUAUGAGAUCCAGUUUGGGCAGUACCGGGGACAGACCUUCAAGUGGCUCCUGAGUCACGACGUGGGCUACGCUGUGGCCCUGCUGGCCUCACACCAGAAGGAGCGGGAGAGUGGUGACACAUCCAGCUCACCACUUAUGGCCAACAAGGUGCUGUGGAGUACAACACAGAAAUAUCUCACUCAUCCUAGUACAGUAAAAGUAGAGCCAUCAUUAGAACUAUUAUACGGAUCCCAACUCACACAGCUCAAUCAGAGCAAUCAUCAAGAAAUUCCUAUUUCUGUCAUAAUACACAUAUUCUGUUCUCCCGCUACACAGGAUGCCCUCACCUCCUACAGCAAGCUGUUCCCAGAGGUGAUGUCAGCCGUGGAGGGACGCCGUGCCACGGAGGGUUCCAAGUCUGUCCGGAGCCAAGACAAGAAGUUGGUGGAGUUCGGCCCCCACGGAGCCAUGACCUACGCCUCCAUGUACGAGGCCACGGGGAAAGAGGUUGAGACCUACGUGCAGUGGCUGAGGAAGAAGAAGUGCAUCCCAGGCAGCUCUCUGCAUGCUUUAAAGACCUACAUACUGGGCCGGGACCAGGAGAAGAACCAGCAUCCCUCCCAGCAGCCCCAGUGCCCACCAUCUGACGGUGUUGUGCUCCCAGUUGCUGUUCCUGCUGCCUCCACGCGUGUCUCUGAAAAGCUGAUUUCUUUGUCUUCUCUGUGUGAAACAGCUGCUAACGAGCCCUCAGACGAGAUGCUCCUGGCUGCUGCCUUAGAGGUGGAGAGUCAGCGUGAGUUCACUCACACGCACACGCACACAUGCAAUGGUUAUAACCCUUUAUCAAAUGUAAUGAUUCUGUGGUGA